UUGCAACACAUACAGGAUGCCACUGAUCCUUGUGUUUGGAUACAUACCUCAAGUGUUCCAUAUUCAGGAAUACAGUGACCAGCUGUUACCACCCAGGACGGACUGAUAAUGGAACCACCACAGAUGUGCUGCCGGAGGAUGAUCAGUACGACUUGCUGCAGAGAGAUCUGGUAUGGGAACUCACCUGCAGGACCCACAAGGCUUGUGCUGGGAAUUACUUUGCCGUACGCGUCCUUGAGAGUUUCCGCUAGAUCAGCAGGAUUUUAUUGAACACAGCAGUUACACUGGUUGCAGUGAAAGGACUAGCGAAGGAAACGCACAAUAAUUCCAGAUUACACUGAAGCCUUCAUCUAGAACGCAUUAUAGCCCGAACAGCAAAGACAUUUACAAUGAAAUCUGCCAAGUCAACGACAGCUACAGUUAUGGUAAAAACUACGACCAUAACAAAGACCGUUGCUACAGUAAAUACUCCAGUGACUACAAAGCCUGCAGUAAAAGCCAAUCGAAAGCCUCCAAAUACAGCAAAAGUUAAUCCAACCCCAAAGCCUCCAUCUUUUAUUAAAAAUGCAAAUUUUCAAAAACCUCCACCUGCAAUAAAAGCUGCAAGGCCUUCAAAACCAAGAACUGCAACCGCACCAAAACCUGGAAUGACAGUGGAAUCUACAACCAUGUCAAAGAAGAUUGUAGUUAAAGCUACUACCACAAAAACAAAGAGCCAGUUUUGAUACAUAAGCAGUGACAAAUAUGUUGGUUACUCGUUGCAAAAGUGAUGAUGUUUCAAGAUGGUGAUAUUAUAUCAGGAUAGCAACACACCAGCAUGAUAUUUGAUGCUGUAUUACUUUCAUAAUAUUUUCAGUUCAGUCGCUUCACAAAACAGGUCUACAUCCAGAGUGGAACUUCUAUUUUGUUUAGAAUAUGUAACUGAAUCAAUAAGUAUGUGAAUAUGCAAAUUCCCGUGUAAGGUACACACUUUGCUAAAAUGACUACUGAAUACAGUCUGAAAAGUUGCAUAUUAGAUUAUGGUGUUUUCAUUUAAGCUAUAUACAAGUAUCUAGCAGACAAAAUUUUUCUUGCAUUCCUCCUCUUCCCCUAAUGUUUUUCUGUGGUUUGUAGCGUCUUCUUUGAGGUGACCCAUUUGUAUCAUGUAGUUGCAUAUGUUGUCAAUGACAUUUUGUGGGAACAUUUCAGGAUUAGUUUCCAUGUAGUGGUAUACAAACAGGUCAGCCCCGGUUAUAAUGAAACGUUGUGUGAACACAACAACCAACGCUCCUGCAAAAAUCAUGGAAUGACAGUAAAUUGUCAGUGCGAGUUUCUGUGGUGCUUGAUGAAUAAUGUAAGCACUUUUCUUUGCUGUGCUCUGCUGCAUGCAUGUUUAAAUUCCAUAAAACCACCACCAAUUUGUGUUCUGCUAUAAAGUUUACAUGUCAGUCAAUCUUGUUAUAGUUCCAUAGUCUUUUCUUUUGUAAUAUGUAAUAAUUUUGUAUAAUAGUUUGGAAAAUAUAGAAAUUCACAUAGUG
Molecule: non-coding RNA, 1517 nt
Organism: Zootermopsis nevadensis
Lineage: Eukaryota; Metazoa; Arthropoda; Insecta; Blattodea; Termopsidae
Source: RefSeq, a predicted model, not a curated record